This 201-nucleotide long non-coding RNA is filed under the name Elaeis guineensis (African oil palm). RNAcentral describes it as "long non-coding RNA (EGUI_LNC004065)". The record is from RNAcentral. Lineage: Eukaryota; Viridiplantae; Streptophyta; Magnoliopsida; Arecales; Arecaceae.
GCUGUCAAGUUUCGACCCCCAUGUUGGCUCUGACCUGUGCAUCUAUGCCGACACUUACCCCUAACAGCACAUGUGGCAAGCCACCGAGCCAUGUUCCUUCCAACCUUCCUUCUGACCCCGGCUUUGCUCGUCGAAUUUGGAAAGAUUGAUAGAAAAUCCUUAUAUAAUCCCAUUAAAUCAUGCCACCAUUGAGAGCAGCUG